GAUGAAGAACGUAGCGAAAUGCGAUAAGUAAUGUGAAUUGCAGAAUUCAGUGAAUCAUCGAAUCUUUGAACGCACAUUGCGCCCGCCAGUAUUCUGGCGGGCAUGCCUGUUCGAGCGUCAUUUCAACCAUCAAGCCCCCGGGCUUGUGUUGGGGACCUGCGGCUGCCGCAGGCCCUGAAAAGCAGUGGCGGGCUCGCUGUCACACCGAGCGUAGUAGAUUUUAUCUCGCUCUGGGCGUGCUGCGGGUUCCGGCCGUUAAACCACCCUUUUAACCCAAGGUUGACCUGGAUCAGGUAGGAAGACCCGCUGAACUUAAGCAUAUCAAUAAGCGGAGGA
RNAcentral lists this unclassified non-coding RNA (336 nucleotides) under soil metagenome. RNAcentral's name for it is "partial contains 5.8S ribosomal RNA, internal transcribed spacer 2, and large subunit ribosomal RNA". The stretch from base 1 to 120 matches the Rfam family "5.8S ribosomal RNA", at positions 35 to 154 of the family's 154-position model. The record is from RNAcentral.